AAACCGUAUAGAGGUUAAGCCCGUUGAAUCUAAAUAUCUGACUAGUGGAAUUCAAUAUACUAUACUCAUCUAUAUGGUGGGUAUAUUGUAUGCACUUUCCAUUUAGUAAGACAUUGCAAUCCGUUAGAUUAGAUUAUGGUCUUUUGAUUAUGAUCUAUACUUAUCUAUGGGGCCGUUUAGUGCGUUUAUUAUAAUUAAUCCUCUACUUGUAGGGUAUUAUUUGAUAACACUUUGUGGUACUCGAUAAUGUAUAACUGACGGAUUUUAAACUAGGUCAUAUGUACAUGCAAAUGUGAUUGAUUUAUCAAUUUAUAUGCACCUAAUUGGCAAUGCAUUAUAGAUUUAGAUACCUUCGGGACCCGUCUUGAAACACGGACCAAGGAGUCUAGCAUGUAUGUAAGUGAUUGGGUACUUUCUAAUAUUUUUUAUAAUUUGGUUGCGGUAACGUGAUCGGUUAUAAUACAAUAUGGAAAACGUUUAUUCAUUUAAAUGAAACCCAAACGCACAAUUAACAUAACUAUUUGUUGGGAUUACAUUUACUUUAGCUAUAAGCAAUAAAGUUUAUUUCCAUCCCGGGGCGAUUUAUCAUUAAUGCUAGCAAUAGUAUUAUAAAAUCGUACCUUGAACAUACAUGCCAG
RNAcentral lists this ribosomal RNA (638 nucleotides) under Clogmia albipunctata (mothmidge). RNAcentral's name for it is "eukaryotic LSU rRNA". It matches the Rfam family "Eukaryotic large subunit ribosomal RNA", at positions 402 to 812 of the family's 3401-position model. The record is from RNAcentral. Lineage: Eukaryota; Metazoa; Arthropoda; Insecta; Diptera; Psychodidae.